AGGUCAGGAUGUCUACAUUACUAUUUUCUUCUCUGUUAAACUUUGUUCAAUUAAUUCAUUGGGUAAACGGAACAGAUGAAGACAGAAGCGGACCUAGCUUAUAAGUUAUGGGUUCACGUAAAUCUUUUGUCAAUACCAUGUAUAUGUAUUAACAAAUCAACUACUUUAAAUAUUUAUAAAUAUUUGACUGUAAAAGCAGUAAUUAUUAUCUAUAUUAACUUGAGGUACUCAUCGUAGGAACCAAUAAACUUCAAAUCCUAGAUAUGUCUUGGACGAAGAAACCCUUGAAGGGAGACCAGACUUACAAGAGGAAUUGAUCAUCAGAGAAUGUUUGGUUCGUAAGAGGUCAGUGUCAGUUCAUGGCUGCUGCAUCUUAUUUCCUAAGGUUUUUUUAUUUGCUCCCUACUGUGAAAAGUGAUGUAAAAGAUUUCAUUUCAUUUGUAUUCACAUUAAACCAAGAAACUAGUAAGCAUUUAUGCUCUUUCUAAAGACUCUAUUUGGACAUCUAAAGAAUUUCACAUAUGUUAUUUGAUUGGGACUAUAACAAUAAUAAGCCUACUUUCAUUGGGUAAAAAAUACUCCUCUACUUUUAUUUGUGAGUUAAAUUUGUCUCUCGUUAAUCGUUAUACUAUCGGGCCAACGAGGUAUUAAUUAGGUGGGUUGGGUUGGGUUAAAAGAGGGGUCCAGGUUAUUUAAGGGAAAUCGUGUAAUUUUAGUCGACUUGGGGAAUCUGUCCAAUUGAGGGGCAUGUUUGUUAAGUUUACUAACGGAAAGGGUAAAAUUGACCCUGUAGUAUAACGAGGGACAAACUUAACUAAUAAACGAAAGUAGAAGGGUAUUUUCUGACCCUUUCCUCUUAAUUUAGUACUGUAGAAACAGCAGCAAGGUCCAGCUGAAUCCAGGUAGGGACCCUUUCUUGAAUUAUGCCAGUUUAUUACACUCAACUAGGCCAUCCUAACUAUGAUUUGAUUGUUAACAGAAGAUUAUGUCCAAUGAUAGAGAUAGAUUACAAAAAGAUACUUGAAAAAACAAUGACUAAAUAAGAUUAGAGGUGCCAUAAAUAUGAAACUUAAUGACCUAUUAAACAAAAUAUAUGAAACCUUAAUGGUCCUGACAGACAAGUAGGUGAUGGCAGGACAUUGAAUUGCAGCAAUAAAUGAGACAGCAAAAGCAUUGUCCCUCCUUUGAGGAUUGGUAGGUUGUGUAUGUCUGUUCUCUGUGUUAAAGUCACUUUGACUAUAUUUUUUUGGAUAAUAGGGGUGACUGAGCUAGUUUACGCGUACCUUAACUAAUCUUUCGAGUACUUGUUAUCUCUUACUUAACAUAGAUAUUUGAUAAUUCUGUCUACCAAGGUUUUGAGUUUUGACAUAUGAGAGGAAAUCACUUAGCUUUUUGUUUCUGGUGGGAUUUGAACUCUAAUCUCUCGCGAUUUUCACUCAUUUCAUCGACUGUUGAGUGAUACCAUUGGAUGCACCUUUGAAUACUAAUUUAUGUAAUGGGUAUCUAUCUGUACUCAUCAAUGUCCUCUAGGAGUAAAUGUAGAGAGAGAUGAGACCAAAAAUUAAAAUAAGAAGAACCAUUUUCAUUGGCAUGAGCUGUCAUUUUGAAAAAUAACCAAAUGAGGUAGGUUUUCUCAUCUAUGAUACAUAUUUACACUCUUCUGCUUUUGUGGCCUUGUGGUUGCUUAACUGAUCUUCUACAUUUAUGUCAUUUGAUUAUCUUUUCCAUUUGGACAACUUACAAUUUCAAACUCUUUGGUGGUAAAAAAAAAGAGGAGAGGCUACAAUGUCUUUGAACUAAGGGUCCCUCGGAAAUAGUAUCGUUUGCCUACACUUUAUUCCCCUCAGACUCCACUCGUGGGAUUACACUAGAUUUGUCGUUAUUGAGUAAAUGUAAUGUUUGGUGUGAGGGAGUGAAGUCCACAAAUGCAAAAGGUUCAUAGGGGUGCACUAUAAGUCUAUAAUGCUACUACUAUAGGGUACGUAAGUCAGAAGAAAAGUAAAUGGGGCUAUAUAUAAUCCUCAGUACCAACUAGCUAGUGUAGUAGAUGGAGUUUAUUCUCAAAAUUAAAACAACAACAAUAAUUUUGAAGUAAGAUUUUAAGUAUUAAAUUACUUCUCAACUAAAUUAAAGUAUUGAUACGUGGAUCAUUGGUCCAUACAAUAUUAGCUCUUCAUCUUGAUGUUUUAGAAUAUCAUUACAUAAAUUAUUGUCUCUGGUGCUCAGCCUUAACCACCUGGUACACUACGCACUUAGCCACAUACUCAGCGACAUCCCUCUUCAUACCUUUCCACCAAUAGUGUGCACAACUAUUAUCUUUUCGAAGAUGCUUGGAAUUUUGUAUACACGAUCUAUCGAGGGCAUCAGAUGUCUAAUUUUUUGGUCAGAAUAUCAACAGUAAUAUUCUCGGAUCGAAAUUAGGGAAAGGUCAAUUCAAUAUCCUUUUGGUAGAUAAAGUAACAACUUUUAAGAGUUUCUUCGUGGUCUACUACUCGAGCAAUUAUUUAUUUAUUUGGUAUAGAAAGGAUAGUAGUAUAUUGUAAACUAGAAAUAUAUCAUAACAAAUGGACCAAUAGAUCAUGCAUAUAUAAUUAAUAUAUUUAGAAAUAUCAUUACAUGUGAUUGCUGAUAGAUUAGUCAUCUUCGUGAUGAUCAGUAUUAGUAGUUAGAAAUAAUAUUGGGAAUUAGAUACUAAUCAUUUCUUGCUAAUUAAUUGCUGGUGGUUGUAAAUUAGUAUACUUUAUAUAUAUAUUCUGUUUCCCUGUACAAACACAGUAUCUUCAGAAUCAAAGAAAUUUUAAAAGGAUACACUAAAAUUUUGUUCUUGAUACACUUGACCAGUAAAAGAUUUUGUUUUUUAGACCAUUUAAUUUUGGAUUUGUCAGCACCGGGCUUGCCUAGUGCAGGUUAUCUUUCUUGUGUAGUUUGUCACCUACCCGCAUAAAAGCGGGGGUUUAUAAAAAGUAAUGCACUAUAUGCUCCUUCCGUUUUGUUUUUCUUUUAUUUGAUUCAGUAUAUUAGAAAUAGAUAUUUUUUUUGUUCAUUUUAAAAAUAUCCAACAGUUAAUUAGUUACUUUUUUUAAAAAAAAAAUAUCCUUAUGAGUAACCAUUUGACAAACCUAUUGUUGUACUAGUAGUUAAAUUAAAAAGUUUCAAAGGAUAGUUAAUAAGGAUAAUAUAUCAAUAAAAUAAGGGAAAAGGGUCAAAAAUACCCCUCAACUUUGGUUUAUAGUUUGACCUUACCCUUGCCGUUAAAAUGAAGUUAAUUUUACCCCUCCCGUUACUAAUUUCAUCAAAAUUACCCCUCAUUUGAUAGAAUCCCCAAAAUUGACCCAAAUUAUCCGAAUUUUAAAAAAAAGCCCUAUUCUCUAUUUUUAACCCAAUGCCCCGACCCCUCUAGCUGACGAUUUUGUACAAAACUGUCUUAGCUCUAAAAUUUGGUCUCGUAGUUUCAUUUGGUGUAUGAGUUUAUUUACGAGGAAUUUGGUGGCUUAUUAGAGUCCAUACGAAUUAUUUGGUACAUUUUGGUUGAUCUUCUGGAAAAUAACUCUGAUCCAUAUUGGUCUUUCUGUGGUAACUCUGUAAUUCAAGUAGUGAAAUUCGUAAAUAUUUUUGUUUAUUUGGAUUCAAGUUAAUUAAUUUAUCUAGUUGAUGAAAAGAGGCAAUGUGCUUUUCUGAAUUGUCUUAUUUAAUUCCUAAACUGCUCAAUUUGUAGGGGACAACCAUUUGAGUUAACAAAUUUGAUUUCUCACUGGAGCUAGCAGGCACACAGAAAGCAAAGUUCACAUAGAUGCUACAACAUAUUUCAGCUCUAACUAAUACUCCAUGGUGGCUAUCUCAAAAUGGUUCUACUUCAAUGUUCUUUUUGAUUAAAUUUAAAUUUUACAAAGAUGCUAGUGAACCGGGUUAUCCUCUAGAGGGGUC
Molecule: long non-coding RNA, 3924 nt
Filed under: Solanum tuberosum (potato)
Lineage: Eukaryota; Viridiplantae; Streptophyta; Magnoliopsida; Solanales; Solanaceae
Description: long non-coding RNA (STUB_LNC007704)
Source: RNAcentral